GUACUGCCUUUAGCUAAGGAUGUUACUAUCUUAUUUAUAUUACCUUCUGUGUAGUUAUUUCAUUUAGGCUUUCUCUGAGGAAGGAAUGGCCAAAUUGUCUGAAAGGAACAUUCUGUUUCCUGAAUAGGAAUUUCGCGGCCACAGCUUAUCUCAGCAAGAAUCAUAUAUUUGUGACGACAUGAGCCAGAUUCCCAUACUAUGUAAUUUUACUGGAAUUCUCCUGCAGUAACUUAAUGCUGACCUUAUGAUUCUUUCUAUGAUGAUAUCCUACAGUCUCCUCUUUGAGCUUGGAUGCUGGCAAGAGAAGCUCAAGUUGGCUGAACAAUACAGGAUGAAAGUUUGUAAGUGGGGAAGGCCCCGCACAGAUUUGGAAAAACUCAGAAUGUGUUUUCAGAAGGGGAUGGCGAAAGUUCCCAAAUUAUUCAAAUUGAGUUCACUUAGAUCAUUGGGACUGUAUUUAUUGAUAUUGAGAGUGCUAAUCAAUAGGAGUUUGGAACCCUAUUUCAGGGGGCUCACAUUGGUGGUCCGCAUACACUAGAGUAAGAACCUCUGAUCUGUCAGAUGCUCCAUUUACAGAUAAAGAAACUGAUGGGAAUCGACUUGUUCAAAGUCAUGUGGUCAAUAAGCAUCAGAGGCAGAAUUAGAAUCUAAUUCUUAUAAUUCCUAGGUCCUUUCUACCAAGCCCUGUCCCAGGAAGCCAGCAUCCUGUCCCCUCUCCAUGGCUCCAUUCCCACUAACGGCUCUAGGGCACACUGGAACAGACAGAAACCGUUGGCAUCUAGUGCACGUCUUCUUCAGGAGCCCAUCCCCUUGGUUCCAAUCAGGAUUAGGUUCCUCUUGGCUGGAGGAAGCUAAGCCUGUCAUGAUUCCUCCUUUUUCAUUAGUCAUCUCCUUGACCUCUCUCCCUUUCCCAGGACCCUGGUCCUCAGGGUCAUCAACAUUGAUUUGUGCGAGAGGCCGAGUCCAGCUGACUUCAGUGCUGGUCAAAAGCCCAGGAUGGGUCCAUGCAGAGGCAAAAGGAAACUUGGCUGGAGGAGGCAUGGGGAUUUGAACACAGUGUGAACCGGGAAGGCUGCUUCAGCCCAACCAAACACCAGCAAACUGCACCCAGCACAGCAGAGCAGCUACACCCAGGUCAAGUGAUGGGAGUGGCAGGACUCUCCCACUGCAUCUCUCCUGACUGAGCUGCCCAACAGCAUCUCCAGAGACUGGGGCUUAGAUACGCGGAUAUGAUGCUCUGGCACCUUGAGUGGUAUUGUGCACUGGCUGGAGUAUGGAGACCAGAAAGACCAGUUCUCGGGGUGGAAUAAGUGAUGUGAAGUAUGGCAUCUGGGUCCCUGCCCAGCCCAUGGGCCCAGAGAGGAAGGCCCAGGCCACAGAAAGGCUAUCCUGCAGCCCUAGGUGAGGGGAGACUUGGCUUCUCUCAUCCUUGGGAUGAGAUUUUUUUUUUUUAAGGAAGAUUAGCCCUGAGCUAACAUCUGCUGCCAAUCCUCCUCUUUUUGCUGAGGAAGCCUGGCCCUGAGCUAACAUCCGUGCCCAUCUUCCUCUACUUUAUACGUGGGACACCUACCAUAGCAUGGCUUGUCAAGUGGUGCCACAUCUGCACCUGGAUCCGAACCUGCGAACCCCGGGCCACCGAAGCUGAACGUGCGAACUUAACCGCUGCGCCACAGGGCUGGCCCUGGGGUGAGAUUUCUUAUACCCAACCAGCGGUUCCAGGCACCGAAACUUACUUAGGUAAUAGGGCUUUGGUUUUUUAAAGAAGAGAUGACCCCAACUUAAAAAAAAACAGCUUUAGUUUUAGUUUUGUUUAAAAAAUAAAGUCUAAAAAAUAAGUCUAAAAAGCCACCCAGGCUCAGACCCAACUGGUAUUUUUUUAGAAAUUUUGACUGCUGAAGUUUUGUGUUUCAGAUUUUCUUGGUUACAAUCUAAAUGUUUGAAUAAUAAUGGUGAUGAAAAGAUCUUUCAUGCUGAUCGUGCUUGGUAUAUGAUAAUCUUCACAAAAAUCAAGGAAAAAGCUCAUAAUCCUCACAAAAAUGUAAUUUUAACUGAUGAAGACACUCCAAGUUGGAGAAGGUGAGUGAUUCUCCCUGUGAGAAAGCGGCGGAACUGGGCUUGCAACUGAAGCCUGCUGUUGAGACAGCUCUUUUCAGGACUCUGAAAGUGGCCCCCCGCCAGCCGUGCACUAUUUGCCUCGAACCCUUUUUAGGAGGCGGAAGGGUACAAAUACACUAAUACAGCAUUAGUAUAUGGGUUCAAAAUUGUUAGAAUUGCAUCAGACCCCGCAGCCUCGACAUAUUUUUGUUUCGUUUAUCUCAUUUGUUCUUUCCCACUAAGUCACUGUGUCCCUAUAUUAUAGGAAAAGGAAGUUCCUUUUUAUAGGAAGCUCGGAUGGUGACUUGCCCGAGGCCACACUAAUAGCAAGAGGCAGAGAGUAGACUCCGAUCUCACCCCCAGCUUGGGUUCCACAUCUCUCUCCGUUGUGUCAGGUUGUCCUUCCCUGUAACAACAAUUAUGGAGCAAAUUGUAGAAAUUGGCCACCAAGGGACCCCACUCCCUAGGUCCACACGCUUUGCAACAUGACUUGCUGCUUUCCAUCAAGACGUGGAGCCUCUCUCCCCAUCCACUGAGUGCAGCUGGCCUUGGGACUCGCUUGGACCAGUAGAAUGUGAAGGAAGUGCUGUUCUGAGGUUUCCAAGCUCAGACUGUAAAGCGGCUUUCCGGCUUCCACUUUUCUUCUCGGAACCCAGCUGUCACGUAAAGAAGUCCAGGUUAUCCCGCUGGAGACAGAGGCCACAUGGAAGAGAAAUAGGCACCCCAGCUAACAGCCAACACCAAGGCCCCAGUCGCAUGAAGGCUCUCGCCUUUGCUGGAUGGGUAGCCAAGGGUUAGGGCACAGCCUGUGGCCUCCAAACAGAAGACAAGGAGAUGAGGGCCCGGCUCACAUUCACAACUGGCUGUGCAAACCAGCCGCAGACAGCAGGCAGCACUUUAUGCAGAGGGGAGGCCGUGUGGAGACACUGGAGGAAGAUGGCCAUCUAUAAGCCAAGGAGAGAGGCCUUAGAAGAAACCACCUCACCUUGAUCUUGGACUUCUAGCAUCUGAAAUUGUGAGAAAAUAAAUUUCUGUUGUUUAAGCCCCCUAGUUUGCGAUGUUUUGUUAUGGCAGCCCUAGGAAAGUAUACAACUGAUAAAACCAUUCAAGACUUUUGACUCCAUAGUUUCGCUAGUAAGCAGUCCCCAGAUCCCUUUCCUCAGCCCAAAGGAGCAGGAUACUGGUAGAGAUGAACUCCUGCCUGAUAGAACCGUGGAUCUUUUUGGGCAGAGGUUCUUAACUAGGGUAUACAGAUGAAUUUCAAGGAUUCCUUUUGUGUGUGUGUGUGUACUGUUUUUUUCACUUUUCUACCAAUAGGUUCCAGAACUUUCGCAAGAUUCUCAAAAGGGUUUAUGACUUUCCAAAGGUUUGUAACCACCAUUUUAGAAUUCAUCAUGUAUUCUAGGCCUCUUUACCUCAGUUCCAGCUGGGCAUAGAGUGUACCUAAGGAUUACUGACCAUGCCUGUAGCUGAAAUUAUCCAUUUAUGGAGCUCUUGUGUGUGGGGCUACCCGUGUGCUCUGAGAACACACAAAAGCCUAGAGAACAAAGGGAAGGCAUUUAUUUAGGUGUAUGUUAAGUAUAAGGCACUGUGUUAGGCAUAGAGAUGUAUGAGGAUGCGUGAGGAAAUAUCCCUAACUUCCUGUGUUGAGAGAGCAACAAACAGACAUUUUCUGAGUUUCAUGACCCAUGGUGGGUGCUGCCUCUCUUUGACCGAGGUCAGACAGAUACUCUGCUGUUCCUGACCCUGCAAACAGCUGUAAGCUUGCCAAGCCUAUGGCCUCCACAUGGGAGGCCACCCUCUUCACAGGAGUAUAUUUGUUUAAGGAGCUUCAUGACUGAGUUUGGCCUCAGGAGAUGGCCUGGAGAAAAGAAGGAAAAAACCCCAACCUGAUAAUACCAAGUGCUGGUGAAGAUAUGGAACAACUGGAACUCUCAUAUGUUGCUGAUAGAAAUGCAAAAUGACAUAGCUAUUCUGAAAAAAGUUUGAUAGUUUUUAUAAAAUUGAACGUACAUUUACUAUAUGACCAUCAAUCCCAUUCCUAGGUGUUUGUGCAAGAGAAAGGAAAACAUGUUUACAUUAAAUCUGUAUGCAAAUAUUUACAGAAUCUUUAUUGAUAAUAACUUGAAAAUGCAAACCACCCAAAUGUUCUUCAACUUGUGAAUGGAUAAACAAACUUUGUUGCAUUCAUACAAGGGAAUAGUAUUCAGCAUAAAGAGAUGAACUAUUGGGGCCAGCCCCGUGGCCGACUGGUUAAGUUCAUGUGCUCUGCUUUGGUGGCCCAGGAUUUCGCCCGUUCCGAUCCUGGGCGUGGACCUAGCACCACUCAUCAAGUCAUGCUGAGGCGGCAUCCCACAUAGCAGAGCCAGAAGGACC
Equus caballus (horse) is the source of this 4470-nucleotide long non-coding RNA. NCBI's taxonomy places the organism in Eukaryota, Metazoa, Chordata, Mammalia, Perissodactyla, Equidae. The record is from Ensembl.